Molecule: long non-coding RNA, 854 nt
Organism: Eutrema salsugineum
Lineage: Eukaryota; Viridiplantae; Streptophyta; Magnoliopsida; Brassicales; Brassicaceae
Exons: 6
Source: RefSeq, a predicted model, not a curated record
UUUUCGCGAUACAAGUGUUUUCUUUUCUUUUCUCUUCACCGACGACGCCAUUCUCCGGUGAGAUUCUCUGCUGAGGCGACGAAUCGGUUCACCGUCUCUGACACGACGAGCAACUUUUUGUGAUCAGAACUAACCAAGAAGCUCCCUUCGUCGAUACAAUCGAUAAUUAGAAGAGAUGGGUUCUGCGAACAAAGAGUACGAGUUUCUGAGUGAGAUUGGGUUGAGUUCUCACAACCUCGGAAGUUACGUUGGUGGCAAAUGGCAAGGAAACGGACCCGUUGUCUCUACUCUCAAUCCCGCCAACAAUCAGCCAAUUGCUCAAGUUGUUGAAGCUUCUCUAGAUAAUUACGAGGAAGGUUUGAAAGCUUGCGAGGAUGCAGGUUCCUGCUCCCAAGAGAGGUGGUAUAGUGAGACAAAUUGGAGAUGCACUCAGAUCCAAACUUGACUAUCUUGGCCGUCUUCUUUCACUUGAAAUGGGGAAGAUCCUUGCUGAAGGAAUUGGAGAAGUUCAUGAAGUAAUUGACAUGUGUGAUUUUGCUGUUGGUUUGAGCCGACAACUCAAUGGACAUGGGUUAUCUCUGUUGUGCUUGUUGUGCUUGUUUGUGCGACCGUAGUUAUAUGGACAUGGGAUAGAACUCCAACCUCGGCCUUUCUUCCACCUGAAAGUCACUUUCUAAAGCCAUUACCAUCGUUAUCGUUUUGAUCAUUCUGAAACGUCAAAAUUUGAUAUUUGUGGAUUAUGGUUUUCUUUGAUCAUAUUUCUAGCACAUUCAUUGUUUGUAUACAGUAUACCAUAAUCAUUCUUCCAAAACGCCAAAAAAUAUUAAGUGUUGUAUUUGAAUGUUUUUUUAUCA